GGUAGCACAGGAUCCUGGGCUGUGUCCCCUGUGCCCUGGGAUCCGGGGCCUGCGCUGCUGGAAUCUCAUUCCCGGGCCACGGCUACU
RNAcentral lists this microRNA precursor (87 nucleotides) under Canis lupus familiaris (dog). RNAcentral describes it as "mir-8799 microRNA precursor family". It matches the Rfam family "mir-8799 microRNA precursor family". RNAcentral also lists the same sequence under 1 other name. The record is from Rfam by way of RNAcentral. Lineage: Eukaryota; Metazoa; Chordata; Mammalia; Carnivora; Canidae.